AAAAGAAACUAACAAGGAUUCCCCUAGUAACGGCGAGUGAAGAGGGAAGAGCUCAAAUUUUAAAUCUGCCUUGUUUUCAGGGUCGAGUUGUAAUUUGAAGAAGCGUUUUCUUGGGCUCGCGGCCGGUAGAAGUUCUUUGGAACAGGACAUCAUAGAGGGUGACAAUCCCGUCUGCGACCGGUCGUGUGUUCAUCUACGAUACGCUUUCAAAGAGUCGAGUUGUUUGGGAUUGCAGCUCCAAAUGGGUGGUAAACAUCACCUAAGGCUAAAUAUUGGCGAGAGACCGAUAGCGAACAAGUACCGUGAGGGAAAGAUGAAAAGAACUUUGAAAAGAGAGUUAAACAGUACGUGAAAUUGUUGAAAGGGAAACGAUUGAAGUCAGUCGUGCUGGCGCGAAAUCAACCUUCUCGUCUUGAGAUCACAUGGCGUGGCGAGCCUCAAAACCGUCACGAAGCGUGAACUCUUGGUGAAAUGGAGCACUUUCGUGUCCGCUGGUUAACAUCAAUUUCGAACGUCAUAAAAAGGCUGGAGGGAUGUGGCUCCUUCGGGAGUGUUAUAACCUUUAGCGGAAUGUGGUGAUCGGGAUUGAGGAUUGCAACG
Molecule: ribosomal RNA, 600 nt
Filed under: uncultured Entrophospora
Lineage: Eukaryota; Fungi; Glomeromycota; Glomeromycetes; Entrophosporales; Entrophosporaceae
Description: eukaryotic LSU rRNA
Rfam family: Eukaryotic large subunit ribosomal RNA
Source: RNAcentral